UACGAAGGGGGCUAGCGUUGUUCGGAAUUACUGGGCGUAAAGCGCGUGUAGGCGGGUCUUUAAGUCAGGGGUGAAAUGCCAGGGCUCAACCUUGGAACUGCCUUUGAUACUGGAGACCUUGAGUCCGGGAGAGGUGAGUGGAACUGCGAGUGUAGAGGUGAAAUUCGUAGAUAUUCGCAAGAACACCAGUGGCGAAGGCGGCUCACUGGCCCGAUACUGACGCUGAGGCACGAAAGCGUGGGGAGCAAACAGG
Molecule: ribosomal RNA, 253 nt
Filed under: uncultured bacterium
Lineage: Bacteria
Description: partial 16S ribosomal RNA
Rfam family: Bacterial small subunit ribosomal RNA
Source: RNAcentral